Molecule: non-coding RNA, 29 nt
Filed under: Mus musculus (house mouse)
Lineage: Eukaryota; Metazoa; Chordata; Mammalia; Rodentia; Muridae
Source: RNAcentral
UCCUAGCAAUGUCUGACUGGAGCCUGUCC